GAUGAACGCUGGCGGCGUGCCUAACACAUGCAAGUCGAACGAAGCACUUAAUUACGAUCCCUUCGGGGUGACGAUUUUGUGACUUAGUGGCGGACGGGUGAGUAACGCGUGGGUAACCUGCCCUGUACUGGGGGACAACAGUUGGAAACGGCUGCUAAUACCGCAUAAGCGCACGAUAUCGCAUGGUAUUGUGUGAAAAACUCCGGUGGUACAGGAUGGACCCGCGUCUGAUUAGCUAGUUGGUGGGGUAACGGCCUACCAAGGCGACGAUCAGUAGCCGGCCUGAGAGGGUGAACGGCCACAUUGGGACUGAGACACGGCCCAGACUCC
RNAcentral lists this ribosomal RNA (330 nucleotides) under uncultured Lachnospiraceae bacterium. Its description in RNAcentral is "bacterial SSU rRNA". It matches the Rfam family "Bacterial small subunit ribosomal RNA", at positions 28 to 339 of the family's 1533-position model. The record is from RNAcentral. Lineage: Bacteria; Bacillati; Bacillota; Clostridia; Lachnospirales; Lachnospiraceae.